RNAcentral lists this ribosomal RNA (444 nucleotides) under uncultured bacterium. RNAcentral's name for it is "bacterial SSU rRNA". It matches the Rfam family "Bacterial small subunit ribosomal RNA", at positions 354 to 796 of the family's 1533-position model. The record is from RNAcentral.
GUAGGGAAUAUUGGACAAUGGGUGCGAGCCUGAUCCAGCCAUGCCGCGUGCAGGAAGACGGCCUUCUGGGUUGUAAACUGCUUUUGCCAGGGGAUAAAAAGUCCCUGCGGGGAAAAUUGAAGGUACCUGGUGAAUAAGCCACGGCUAACUACGUGCCAGCAGCCGCGGUAAUACGUAGGUGGCAAGCGUUGUCCGGAUUUAUUGGGUUUAAAGGGUGCGUAGGCGGUCCAUUAAGUCAGUGGUGAAAUACGGCAGCUUAACUGUCGAGGUGCCAUUGAUACUGGAGGACUUGAGUACAGACGAGGUAGGCGGAAUUGACGGUGUAGCGGUGAAAUGCUUAGAUAUCGUCAAGAACACCGAUAGCGAAGGCAGCUUACUAGACUGUAACUGACGCUGAGGCACGAAAGUGUGGGGAUCAAACAGGAUUAGAAACCCUAGUAGUCC